GACGAACGCUGGCGGCGUGCUUAACACAUGCAAGUCGAACGGAAAGGCCCGGCUUUUGUGGGCUGCUCGAGUGGCGAACGGGUGAGUAACGCGUGAGUAACCUGCCUUUGACUGUGGGAUAACUUCUGGAAACUGGGGCUAAUACCGGAUAAGAGCUCUUGUUGCAUGGGAGCGGUUGGAAAGUUUCGGCGGAUGGGGUGGGAUUCGGGCCUUAUCAGCUUGUGGGCGGGGUAGUGUCUUAGCAGGGCUUGGACGAGUAGCCGGCCUGGGAGGGUGACAGGCCCCAUUGGGACUGAGAUGCGACCCGGACUCCUCCGGGAGGCAGGGGUGGAGAAUAGUGCACAAUAGGCGGAGGGCUGGUGUAACACAGCCGCGUGGGGGAUGUCGGGCAUCGGGUAGUAAACCGAUUUCGCCUGUGACGAAGCGAGAGUGACGGUAAUGGAUAAAGAAGCACCGGCUAACUACGUG
This 468-nucleotide ribosomal RNA is filed under the name uncultured bacterium. Its description in RNAcentral is "partial 16S ribosomal RNA". It matches the Rfam family "Bacterial small subunit ribosomal RNA", at positions 28 to 507 of the family's 1533-position model. The record is from RNAcentral.